This 678-nucleotide ribosomal RNA is filed under the name Pantoea sp. W3-PCAi-E14. RNAcentral describes it as "bacterial SSU rRNA". It matches the Rfam family "Bacterial small subunit ribosomal RNA", at positions 56 to 724 of the family's 1533-position model. The record is from RNAcentral. Lineage: Bacteria; Pseudomonadati; Pseudomonadota; Gammaproteobacteria; Enterobacterales; Erwiniaceae.
UGCAGUCGGACGGUAGCACAAAGGAGCUUGCUCCUUGGGUGACGAGUGGCGGAGGGGUGAGUAGUGUCUGGGGAUCUGCCCGAUAGAGGGGGAUAACCACUGGAAACGGUGGCUAAUACCGCAAAACGUCGCAAGACCAAAGAGGGGGACCUUCGGGCCUCUCACUAUCGGAUGAACCCAGAUGGGAUUAUCUAGUAGGCGGGGUAGUGGCCCACCUAGGCCACGAUCCCUAUCUGGUCUGAGAGGAUGACCACCCACACUGGAACUGACACACGGUCCACACUCCUACGGGAGGCAGCAGUGGGGAAUAUUGCACAGUGGGCGCAAGCCUGAUGCACCCGUGCCGCGUGUAUGAAGAAGGCCUUCGGGUUGUAAAGUACUUUCAGCGGGGAGGAAGGCGAUGGGGUUAAUAACCGUGUCUAUUGACGUUACCCGCAAAAGAAGCACCGGCUAACUCCGUGCCAGCAGCCGCGGUAAUACAGAGGGUGCAAGCGUUAAUCGGAAUUACUGGGCGUAAAGCGCACGCAGGCGGUCUGUUAACUCAUAUGUGAAAUCCCCGGGCUUAACCUGGGAACUGCAUUUGAAACUGGCGGGCUUGACUCUUGUAGAGGGGGGUAGAAUUCCGGGUGUAGCGGUGAAAUGCGUAGAGAUCUGGAAGAAUACCGGUGGCGAACGCGG